This 255-nucleotide unclassified non-coding RNA is filed under the name fungal sp. RNAcentral's name for it is "partial internal transcribed spacer region". The stretch from base 1 to 46 matches the Rfam family "Eukaryotic small subunit ribosomal RNA", at positions 1786 to 1831 of the family's 1831-position model. The record is from RNAcentral. Lineage: Eukaryota; Fungi.
AAGUCGUAACAAGGUUUCCGUAGGUGAACCUGCGGAAGGAUCAUUAAUCCAUCCAAACAGCGUAGCUGCGGCCUCCGGGUUAACCCCCGGAUGGUUCGCGCUACCUGUCUACAUCCUUUUUUUACGAGCACCUUUCGUUCUCCUUCGGCGGCUUACCCCGCCGUUGGAAUCAAACAAAACCUUUUUUGUAUCUAGCAUUACCUGUUCUGAUACAAACAAUCGUUACAACUUUCAACAAUGGAUCUCUUGGCUCUG